This 5154-nucleotide long non-coding RNA is filed under the name Xyrichtys novacula (pearly razorfish). Lineage: Eukaryota; Metazoa; Chordata; Actinopteri; Labriformes; Labridae. The record is from RNAcentral.
UUUUUGGUUGAGGUUUGCAUGUGGAGCCGUAGACCGCUGUGUAUUGCUAUCAUACGGUCAAUACUAAAGUUGGUAUAACGAGAGAAGCGAGCGGUCGGCAACAUUCAUCAAUCGAGGGGGUGUCUAACUCGGUGUUACGGUGUAUUUAACCAUAACAUAAUUUUACGCCGGAACAUCACUUUAAGUCCUAGUCAUCUGAAAUCUAUUCACAUGACAGCUGAGACACAAACUGUUUUUCCUCCCAUACCAUAUUAAGCAGUUAGCAAAAACAUGCGCAUUUUCUAACAUGCUUUAACUUGCACUGAAAUCUUUAAAUGCACGGCUAGAGCAUUACCUCCUUCCUCAUUAUUACAGAACUAAACUUCCUCCUUUGAAGCCCAACACCCUCCAACAAAAAUAGAUCAUUGAAAGCACUCAAAAUAGACAAUCUCUGUGUCACUGAACACCCACGCCCAUCAACAAUCACUGCAGGAUGAGGCUAUCUGUGGGAUUAAACAGACGAAAAAUCCAUUGUUUACUAUACCAGGGAUUGACAGCAGAAAGAAGUGUGUUUCAGUUUGGGUUACAUUUACACGAUGUUUUAAUUGAGUCUUGCCAAGAGGCCGCAGAGAAAAAGGAGCUUUAAGCUAACCAAGAACAAUGCAUCAAUUUGCAACAUCAAUGCUAAAUUUGCAUCAAAGGAGUCUUUACUUAUUUUGUCCUCUUCAUGCUGAAUAGUAUCUCUGAAAAAUCUCAUCCUACCUCCUUUUAUGGUCAAAUGUGUAAUCUAUUGUUUAUAUUUUGUGUAGAAAUUGAAAACAACAGCUAUUUCUGAAUCUGCUCCCUUUGACAAACAUUCGGAUUUACAGGAUUCAUUGUCAUUCUUGACACUGAUGGUUUUGUUUUCUUUGGGAUAUCACAAAAAGGCAAAAGUAUGAAUUUGAUCUAUUUGGAGCUUCAAACUGUUUAAUACCAACACCAUGCGCCAUUUUUGCCACACAGAUCCUCUGUAGUAGACAAAUAUAUAUAGUGUACCAGUCAGUGUUGUUGCUAAGGCCAUUGCAGUUGCUAAGGCUAUUGCUGUCCAAAUAAACAGGGAAACAUCUCCAAUGCACUGCACAUCAAAGUUAGUGCUGACUUGUCCCUACAUUUGUCAGUCAUUCUCAGUGCUCAGCUGUUGCUUAGCCAGCCCAGCUUGUCAAAUGACUGAGACCUGCUGAAUAAGGUCAGACCAGCUAGCUGUCAUACCUGAAAAGUAAUCUGUGUUUUCCAAAGAACUCCAGAAGAGUUAAAGCUGUACCUGCCAACACAUAUGCUGCAUUUUGCACAUGUAGAAAGUGUCCAUUUUCAGUUGCCCAUAGUCGAAUUCAGACACAUAAAACCAUAAAAUCAUGAGCAAACACAGUGGGUGCUGGAUGGAAUUUGCAUGGUUGUGGCCAACUUCAGUGACGCAAACACUGGUGACUACCAACAGAAGGAGGCUGCUUGAGAGGGCACCAAUGAUAUCCUUGUAUUUUAUGUUAUCAGUGUUACUUAUUACUUAUUUUAUUAUUAUUUUUUUUUUGGUUGAUCAUGGGAAACACAAUUUUUUCAUUUGGGGUAGCAUGUUCAGUUGCGAUGCUAGGUGUACUGAUUAAAAAUCCAGUUAUACAAUGAGCUUGUAUAUGGGGGUGUGCGGUUAAGGGUUUAACAGUGUGAUAUUUUUAACAACAUUUUUCAGUAGUUUGGUAGUUUUCAGUGUCAGUUUAAUCCAGUAGGCCUACAUAUCUUCGUAGCUUAGCUUAGGGUAACCAUACAUCCUCUUUUACUCGGACAUGUCCUCUUUUGUGGGAACUAUCUGUUUUUAUAACCCCUUGAAUGUCCGUGGUUUUUGUGUGGAAGUUUUGAGUUUGUGUCGCGUGGACUUACUGAGUUAGAAGCACAAAGAAAAACACUCAACCCGACCGAAAAAACUCCCAAAAUUAAUUACGCAUGACUGCGCCCCGCGUAGUAGUGUCCUCUUUUUGGGGAUUCAGAAUAUGGUCACCCUAACUUAGCUGUUGUAUCGAUGAUUCAGGACAGUAGCAUCCGCACAAGCUUAAUUUUUUCAUUCAGCACAAUGGAGUGCUUUGUCCCAGUCUUAUCUGAACUGCUGUGGGUGAGUACAUGACACCAGGCUUUAUUUACACAUUUUUAUUGCACCUUUGAAAACAUGGGUUUACAAAGUGCUUUGACAUCCAAGCAAAACUGUACACAAGAAGAGAGCAAGCUGUUGGUAGAUUUAGUGUACAGCUAUUUUACAUCCAAGAAAAGUGUUUCUCAGUCCAUAUCAUGCAUGGUUAUACAGAUAUUUGAUGAAUAUUCAGCUCGUAGGCUGUGUGGCUGAUGUAAUGAUCAGAGAGAGCGGAUCUCACACUUGCUUGUUGCUGUCUGUUCUUGUAUCCUCUGAUUAAGACAGAUAAGGAGCUGGAGGUCCCGAGUUACACUAACAGGAUUUCCAGUCCAGCCUGCUAAAUUGUAAAACCUUGUAAAGGCUGGAUGGACCUGCCACAGGGGAGCAGAGCUGCUUAUUCAAACUCAUCACAUUUUUCAAAAACCCAUGAUCUGAGCAGUUUGAGGAUAGAAGGUCGGCAUCCUCUGCGGCGCUGUGUUUAGGUUGUUACAGACUGGUGCUGCAAAUGCAAGAAAAAGGAAGUGAAGCCUGUAGCAAUGCAGACUGAGCAGACUUUUAAUAAAUUCCUUAGUAAGUGUUCUUUGCUACUCAUAUACUGGUACUUCAAAUAGGUAAUAAAACCCCCACCCACUGACUUGUUGAAACUUGAAAAUAAAUAGAGAAAGAGCAGUGAGCAAAACAUUGAACGGGGCGCAACACAAGAUUAAAGAGUCUAUUGGCAAACAAUGUCUAAUCAGUUGGCGGCCAUGCCCCCCAUGUAGCUUGACAAACUAUUGUACUUUGCCAUACUUCUGUUGCCAGUUGUGCAGAAUUGGUCUAUAGUAUUAUAGGAGUAGUCAAACGGGUAUUUAAAAGCCCCCAUGAGUAGCUAGGAGAUAGAGAUAGGCAUAUGAUCCUGAGCUCUGAAGCUUGUAUUACUGGAGUGAACCACACAGCUUCACUUUGACAUGUCGAAGCUUGUGUCAGAGAUGAAAGAUCAUAUCAGAAGCCUCAAAUGUCACCAGCGUUUCAAAGACUCAUUAGUCCACGAGAUGGUCUUGUAUUUAAACUGUGGUUAAAGGUAGAAAGAAAGUCAGCUCAACUACCAAUUGUGUGUACUUAUGUUUUACAUGCGAAAAUACAAGUAAUACUAUUUCUUUUUGAUAAUGCAUAGACAAUUAUUCAUUUGCAGUAAACUCACACGAAAGUUGCUGCUAUCAACGUAUGACUAUGCCUGUAUAAUACUAAAAAGUUUGAACAGUAGACAGACUUAUACAUAGACGGAUAUAUGAAUAGUAUUGAACCCACACAAAGGCGUCACAGACUAUUAUUUCUCACAAAGGGUGAAACUGUGAAAAGAGGUGUACCGGUGCCUCAGACCACCAUUUAGAGGGCUGUCAUUAGUUUACAAGCCACCAGAUAUCACAGUGUUCGCUCAGUCUGAAGCUUCAAAGCUUUGAAUCUUUUCCUCACAAAUUGAAAGGAAACUCUUAGUUUAUACGGCUUUAUCUGACCAUCACUACUGGCUGAAGGCUGUACAUUUCAUGCCUGCAAAUAUUAAUAAUUUGUUUAAAUGACUAGCGAAGGUAAUGACAUGAAGUUUUUCAUCCACUUAAUGUGCACAUCUCUAGUCUCUUUGUUUUUGUUAUCAACCUCUAUUCAUCAAUAAAAUGCACCCAAGGGUGGUGUUGAAAAAACAGGCAAAACCUCUUGUUCAUAGAUAUGAGGCAAAGCAAGCAAUCAGCUUGUUUUCCAGUCCAUGAACUUGUCAAUAAAUACCCCAGCAAAGAUCAUUAUAGUUUGUAUAUGGCAUAAUUUCUCGAUUGGGUUUUCGUUAAUCCAGCAUAAUAUGUAUUUAUCUUUAACGUUAAUACAGAAUUAAAAAAAGACAUUAAACAGGUAAUGCUUUUGGGCAUGGCUAAAUGUGAUUAUCUUGUAAUGUGAUUUCACAUUAUUUGAUCUGAUCACAUUUGCUCUCAAAAAGAAAGAUGGUGAUCAUCAAAUACAAGUACGUCCAGAGGUCUCAUAUGUGGGUUCACAUUUAGUGAGUUACACCUGGUGGCUGUCAGUUGUUUGUGUACAGAGUGUAUUUUAUUAAAUACAAGUACAUCCAGAUUUGUAGUUUCAAAUGUGCUACCUCCACUCCACUGAGAAGUUCCUCUGCAGCAGCUGAGAUUACACUUGGCUGUAUCUCCAGUCCAAACAUUCACAUUUGGUAUACUCUUUACUUUAGACAGACUCAACACUGCUAAAGGUGUGUGUUCAUGGCUGUCAGGCUAGCAUGCCCAGUGUGAACAAAUUAUGCAAUCUGAGACUAAUCACAUAACUCUGGUGACCGGUUGAGUCUCAGUCUCCUGGCAGUGAAUCAGGCUGUGCAAAUAGUUUGAUUAGUUCAACUUGCCAGCCUGCACACAAAGCUGUGAUUAAAACCAACUGCAGCUUUGCUUCGGUCACACAGUCAGAUUGUUCUGCCAGGAGGGAAAAGAUAAAAUUCAAUUAAGAUUUGGUUAAACUGCUGGCGAAAGCCUCUUGUUAAUUUCCUAAACCCUUUUUUUAAGCUUUUGUCGCCCCAUUACUAUUUCUCUAACCUAAAAGCUAAUGCACAAUGACUCAUACAUGUUUAUGGUGGCGUUCUUAUGAAGUGCUCUCAUAAAUGAUGGCUGCAUUUUCCUCAUUGACAUUUAUACGUAGAAUUCCAAUUAGGAAAGCUUUAUUUGAAAAAAGUAAUGAAGUCAAAAGUUUUGACACAGUGUACCUUGAAACAAUAAGAUGGAAGGGAGUCUGAGGUGUUUAGACCCUGUUAUGAAAUCCUAAUUUUUCAUGGGGGCAUGUGGUUGGAAUGAAUUUUGCUGCAUACUAGCCCCUGGUAAAUAGUAUGGAGCAAAAGCUGAAGAUUUGUAGAGAUGAUAGAUGGAAAUCCAACUUAUUUGGAGAGUUGUAUAACUCAGUUAACUUCUGACCAACAAGGGCAGAUGAUCUGCAAAGGCCUAAAUUGCCCUCAUUCAGAGGAAUGAACUGCAAAUGCAGACACAACAAAACUUCAA